UUUAACGGCCGCGGUAUUUUGACCGUGCGAAGGUAGCGCAAUCACUUGUCUUUUAAAUGAAGACCUGUAUGAAUGGCACGACGAGGGCUUAACUGUCUCCUUUUUCCAGUCAAUGAAAUUGAUCUUCCCGUGCAGAAGCGGGAAUAAUACCAUAAGACGAGAAGACCCUGUGGAGCUUUAGACACUGAAUCAGCCCUUGUCCAAAAUCCCAGUUAAGGCUAUGAACACUAGAGUGAGAUCUGAUUUAAUGUCUUCGGUUGGGGCGACCUUGGGGAAAGAAAAAUCCCCCAUGCGGAACGGAAAUACUAUGCUUCCAAAACUAAGAGCAACCACUCAAAGUAUCAAAAAUUUUGACCAACUAUACGAUCCGGCUAAACGCCGAUCAACGGACCAAGUUACCCCAGGGAUAACAGCGCAAUCCUCUUUUAGAGCCCAUAUCGACAAGAGGGUUUACGACCUCGAUGUUGGAUCAGGACAUCCUAA
This 483-nucleotide ribosomal RNA is filed under the name Amphiprion clarkii (yellowtail clownfish). Its description in RNAcentral is "partial 16S ribosomal RNA". It matches the Rfam family "Bacterial large subunit ribosomal RNA", at positions 1923 to 2550 of the family's 2925-position model. Lineage: Eukaryota; Metazoa; Chordata; Actinopteri; Pomacentridae. The record is from RNAcentral.